This 3067-nucleotide long non-coding RNA is filed under the name Salmo salar (Atlantic salmon). Its description in RNAcentral is "lncRNA (ENSSSAG00000104161.1)". Lineage: Eukaryota; Metazoa; Chordata; Actinopteri; Salmoniformes; Salmonidae. The record is from RNAcentral.
AAGAGUCUUGUCUUUAAAAUGCUGUAAAAUAGUCAUAUGUUUGAAAAAUUGAAGUUUUCGGAUUUUAGAGGAAUUUGUAUUUCGCGCCACGCCCAUCAUUGGAUAUUGGAGCAGGUGUUCCGCUAGCGGAACGUCUAGAUGUAAGAGGGUAACGACUGUUCCACAGGUGCAUGUUCAUUAAUUGUUUAUUGUUCAUUGAACAAGCAUGGGAAACAGUGUUUAAACCCUUUACAAUGAAGAUCUGUGAAGUUAAUUUGUAAAAAUCCAACUAACUUUGAAAGACAGGGUCCUGAAAAAGGGCCGUUUCUUUUUUUGCUGAGUUUAUUAGUGGUGAGUUUGUACAGCCUACACCGGCUCCCCGAGAACCCCGCUUACCUCCUCCGGUGUGAUAUUCUGGGGGAUCCUGGUACCUGCCGGGGUUUGUUUUCUUAGUGCUCCCUUAUUUUUGCACUGCAGCCAUCUUUGUAUCCUUCAGACCGAUCAAAGAUACCGUGUAUUAUUACGCUAAUGUCGGGAUGGGCGCUCUCCUGGGCUACGGCAGUUUGGGAGCAACAAUCAAGCAUUUGUCGUCAUCUGGAGGAUUGCAUGGCAGAGUUGAGGAAGGUGUUCUCUUCUCCGGUAACCGGGAGAGGGGCGGCCCGAAAAAUUUGAAUUACGCCAAGACUCCCGUAGUGUGGCAGACUACGUUGUUGACUUUUGCUCAUUGGGCACCGAGAGUGCCUGGAAUCUGGAGUCCCUUUUUGAUGCCUCCCUUCACGGAUUAUCUGAGGUGAUAAAAGAUGAGCUAACUGCUCGGGAAUUACAGGUGGACCUAUAUUCCCUCAUCACCCUCACCAUUAGAAUUAAUGGACGUCUAAGGGAACGCAGGAGUGAGAGGAGGUCUGGCCUAGGUCACACUCGUUCAUCUGCAGUGGCUCACUCAGCUUCAAAUGAAUCCGGAAAUCCCCAAAGGCUGUUUUUCCGAGAGGAUCCAAAGCCACCCGAGCUCUCUCGGGAAUCCUCGAUGACGGGUGAGCCUGAUACACCGGAACCUGUGCAACUGGGAAGAGCUAGAUUAUCGCCUAGGGAACGUUCAUGCAGGCUAAGCUCCAAAAGUUGUCUGUAUUGUGGUGCUGUAGGGCAUUACAUAGCCACCUGCCCAGUGAAGAGACCUGAAGCCUUAGUAGGUACAGGUACUCUGGUGAGCCUGACUGGGAACCCUCUAAGUCCCAUUACCUGAACUCCUUUAUGUGAGCUUGCUGUGGGGAGACCAGUCUAAGUCUCUCUGGGUGCUUAUUGACUCUAGGGCAGAUGAGAGUUUCAUGUACGCUACCCUGGUAUCAGAACUAAGAAUCCCUACUCAACUCCUUUCUGUUCCCAUGGAUGCCAGGGUGCUGGACGGCCGCUCCAUUGGAAGAGUCACGCACAGCACAGUUCCCAUUAAUAUGCGGGUAUCUGGGAAUCAGUGAGUCAAUUCAGCUCCUCCUCAUUGAGUCCCGUCACAUCCCUGUUUUGGGAUUUUCCUGGCUCCAGAAGCACAACCCUGAUAUUAACUGGACUACGGGUUCAAUCCUGGGUUAGAGCUCGUUCUGCCAAUCACACUGCCUUAAGGCGGUACAUCCUUCUCCAGAACUUCUGCCUCCAGAGUUAAGUACGGCCUCGGAUCUCUUUGCCGUGCCCGCAGAAUAUCAUGCCCUCCUGGAGGUUUUCAGCAAGGCUUGUGCUACCUCCCUUCCUCCACAUCGUCCUUAUGAUUGUGCUAUUGACCUCCUCCCGGGCACCACACCGCUUCGAGGUUGGCUAUAUUCCCUGUCUGGUCCUGAGACCAAGGCCAUGGCGUACAUUGAGGACUCUGGCUUUUGGGAGCAUUUGCUCUCCUGCCGGCACAGGAUUAUUCUUUGUGGGGAAGAAGGACAAGACCUUGUGUCUAUGUAUUGAUUACUGGGGACUUAAUGACAUUACGAUUAAAAAUUGGUACCCUCUACCACUCCUCUCCUCGGCAUUCGAACCUCUCCAGGGGGCUACUACCUUUUCCAAAACUGGACCUUUGGAAUGCCUACCACCUUGUGGGGAUAUGCGAAGGAGACGAGUGGAAGAUGGCUUUCAACAGUAUGAGUACCUAGUCAUGCCGUUUGGACUCAACAACGCGCCCGCUGUCUUCCAGAACCUGGUCAACUAUGUGCUCUGCGACAUUUCGUUUUGUUUUUGUCUACCUCGACGACAUCCUGGUUUUCUCUCGUUCUGCCCAGGAACACAUUCUCCAUGUUUAAUAGGUCCUUCAGCUGAGAAGUGUGAGUUCCACCGCUCCACUGUCUCUUUUCUGGGAUACAUCAUCGCUGAGGGGAAUGUUCAGCUGGAUCCGGAGAUGGUGAGAGUGGUGGGGGAUUGGCCCCAGCCCAUGUCCAGGGUGCAGCUACAACAGUUUCUGGGGUUUGCACAUUUCUACUGCCAUUUCAUUCGGGGCUACAGCAACCUGGCGGCUCCCCUCUCUGCAUUCACCUCUCCUAAGGUACCGUUCCCAUGGUCUCCAGCAGCGGAAAAGGCUUUUGGAGAUGUAAAGCAGCAAUUUACUACUGCCCUCAUCCAUCUGGACCCAACUCGUCAGUUUGUGGUUGAGGUUGAUGCUUCCGAUGUGUGAGUAGGGGCCGUUCUUUCCCAGCGAUUCGUCUAGGACCAAAAGCUUCAUCCCUGUACCUUCAUGUCCCAUCGUCUCAACUCUGUGGAGAGGAACUAUGAUGUUGGGAACCGGGAACUCCUAGCGGUUAAGAUGGCUCUGGAGGAGUGGAGACACUGGCUGAAAGGGGCGGAACAUCCAUUUCUGGUAUGGACGGAUCACAAGAAUUCAGAAUACCUCUGCACUGCCAAGCGCCUCAACCCAAGGCAAGCUCAUUGGGCCCUGUUAUUUACCAGGUUCAAUUUCAACAUCUCCUACUGCCCAGGGUCAAAAAACAUGAAGCCAGACACUCUCUCCCAUCUGUACAGUUCCACUGCCACACCCUCUGAAUCUGAGACCAUCCUCCCUGCCUCGUGUUUGGCGGCUUCAGUUGUUCUGGGAAUUGAGGCUCUGGUCCGCAAUGCACAGCGUUCC